AAGAAUAACCGAGUACAACCUGCCAUGCAAGCGAGCCGCGGAGAGAAGGAAAGGAAAAAUAGCCAGUUGUGGCCGGUACAGACUCCAGAAAUAAGUGAAUGGAGAGAAGUGAUCUGAACCAACUGUGGUUAGAACGUCUCACUUUUAUAAAACCACUACCAGCAGCCAGGAACCCUAGGAGGAUAAAGGAAAAUCUUUUCCUUCCCUACAAAGGCCUCUGUAAAAUGGUCCACUGCCCAUCUUACCAAGUUUACUUUCCAACAUUUUCCUUGAUGGAGUCUUGGCAACAGCCACAGCAGCUCUCACUCUUCAUGCCCUGAGCUCUUCCACCCACGUGCCUUUGCCCAGGAUCCCCCUCCCACAUACAACUCCCUCUCUUACUCUGGGUGUCCUUCAGAGUCUAUCUCAAAUAUCCUCUCCUUCAUAAACUUUUCCCUAAUUUCCCA
This is a long non-coding RNA of Neogale vison (American mink), 446 nucleotides long. RefSeq lists it as uncharacterized. The transcript is spliced from 3 exons. Lineage: Eukaryota; Metazoa; Chordata; Mammalia; Carnivora; Mustelidae. The record is from RefSeq and is a predicted model, not a curated record.